GGGGCUGACCGGCUUUGACAGCGUGUAGAAGUGGUGCGCAAGCGUGCAGAGCAAUGAUGCCAAAGCUCUUUAAUAUCGACAUCGACCAAUUUAAAUGGCGAAAACAACUACGCUCUCGCUGCCUAAUCGAAGCACAGUAGAUUAGCUUUAUCCCCGCAACAGUUGCAGGGACGAGACAUCGCCCGAUUGUCCUUUUUCCGAGACGGAUCGACAAGGCGGUGCAGUUAAAUCGGAAAUAGUACGGCUCUUGCCUCGCGGGCCGUGCGAAACCUUAGAGGCUAAGGCAGCGGUUGGUCGUCCCGGCCUGCCGCCGCACAAAAACCAAUCGGAGACUACGCACGUAGAAACCGCCCCAAUUCCGCGUUUGGACGAGGGUUCAACUCCCUCCAGCUCCACA
RNAcentral lists this transfer-messenger RNA (397 nucleotides) under pig gut metagenome. It matches the Rfam family "transfer-messenger RNA". From Rfam's summary of the family: Bacterial tmRNA, also known as 10Sa RNA or SsrA, is named for its dual tRNA and mRNA-like properties. The record is from RNAcentral.